AUUGAAGAAAAGAAGAGCUGCUAAUGUGAAAGAAGCAUUACAUUGCACUAAGAUGUCUGUGAAAAGGAACUUGGUUCUUCUGCUGAUACAACUGAUGUGUUACUUUAGUUCUGGAAGCUGUGGAAAAGUGCUGGUGUGGCCCACAGAAUACAGCCAUUGGAUCAACAUAAAGACAAUCCUGGAUGAACUUCUCCAGAGAGGUCAUGAGGUGACUGUUCUGACAUCCACAGCUUCCAUUCUUAUUAAUCUGAACACAACAUCGGCUAUUAAUUUUGAGGUUUAUCCUGCACCUUCAAGAGAACAACAUUUGGAAGAAAGUUUCUCCAAAUGGAUCCAUGAAUGGAUUUAUGAUAUUUCAAAAGAUGACUUUUGGGAAUUUUAUUCAUUAGUGCAAAAAAUUUUCAAGGAAUAUUCCAAUACAAUUGAACAACUCUGCAGAAAUGUAGUUUUCAACAAGAAACUUAUGAUGAAACUACACAAAUCAAAAUUUGAUGUUGUUCUUGCGGAUGCUAUUGGUCCCUGUGGUGAGCUGCUGGCUGAGCUACUUAAAAUACCAUUUAUAUACACUCUCCGCUGCACUUUUGGCUACACAUAUGAAAAGUACAGUGGGGAACUUACAGUCCCUCCCUCCUAUGUGCCUAUUAUUAUGUCAGAAUUAAGUGAUCAUAUGACAUUCAGGGAGAGGAUUAAAAACACAAUGUAUGUGCUUUAUUUUGAUUUUUGGUUCCAGACAUUUGAUGUGAAGAAAUGGAAUCAGUUUUAUAGUGAAGCUCUAGGUAAGUUGAUUCUUUAAUUAUUACUUGAAAUCCUAAUUUUCCUGUGACUUUGAAGCUGAGCUUUCAUAAAUAUAAAAUCAGAAGAAUUUUAUUUUCUGUAAGUAAAAGGAUGGAAUGAAAAUAUAAGAUGUACAAAUAGUCUCACCAAUAAAAAAGGGGGGGCUUUUACAUUGUAGGGCCAAUUAGAAACCAGUGGCAAUCACUCAUACAGAAUGCUCUAGGAAACAAUAACUUGCAAAUUUUAUCAUGAAAGAUUUCUCUGCAUUUAACUAUUCUUUUCAUCUUUAAGGACAGUCAUUAUUAAUUUCACUAAAUGGUUUAAUGAUGAUAGACAUGCAAUUAAUAACAUACACAAAUAUUACUAGCACAACCAUAUGUAUGUACCAUGGAGAAAAUUGUUUAUUUUUGUAUAGUUUUGUUUCCUCAGUUAGAAAUUAAAAUAUUUAUCUGAAUUACCUUAAAUAAUCCUUCACAGUUAAGUAAAUAGUGUCUCUAUCUCAGAUACAGAGAGGUAUAAAUUGACCUAUCUCAUACUUCACAUUCUUUUAAUAAAAACAAACAAAUCAUGUCUUAAGGCCUAAAACUUUUAUGCAAAGUGGAACCACACCUUAUUAGUCUAUAUUUUUAAAGCCUAAUAUUUACCAUUUAAGACAAUAUGAACUAAAGUAAGCAUGAAAACAAAUCUCUAUUGUAAUGAUUUGUAAAAACUUUCUGGCUGUUAUUUUCAGAUAUAUAAAUUUUACCAAGUUAAUAUUAUUAAUCUCUUAAUAUGAGGUAAUUGCAGUAGUGGUCACUAAGAAUUCAGGCAUAUUCACUAACCAUUGCAAUCCACUUGUACAAUCAAGGAUCAAGGGAAUGGUUUGCUCAAUUGUAAGAAUUAGACUGAGUACUCCUAGAAAAGAUGUCUUAACAGUUAUGGGAGCACUGAUUGGUUGUGGAGCUCACCAAGAUUUUAAAAAUUUAGGUUACUUUUGCAGUUUUCGAGAGAGAAUGAACUUCAUGUUGACUUCUAUGCUGGCUUAUGUUAGUAAUUAUUUGUGAUUGUAUAUACACUGAUGGAACAUUAGAAAGUACCCACACAAUUAGUUUAUGUACAUAUUAACAGCUAAAACAUACCAAUCAUAGUAUGCAAAAACAUACACUAUAAAACAUAUCAAAUGCAGGAUGCAAACACACACACAUGUACACACAUGCACUUUAAUCAUCUUGCCUACCCUAAUCCUGUUAAUUUCAUGGAAAUUAUAUGAAGCAUUCCAGACACAAGUCUCUCAUUAUCUUUUCUUCUUUUCUUUUAUGCAUUCAGGGAGACCCACUACAAUAUAUAAUACAAUAGGGAAAGCUGACUUUUGGCUUAUUGGAACCUAUUGGGAUUUAGAAUUUCCUAGUCCACUCUUACCAAAUUUUGACUUUGUUGGAGGACUCCAUUGUAAACCUGCCAAACCCCUCCCUAAAGUAAAUCUUCUCCUGUUUGUUUUGUUCUGUUUGAUUAACAUUUUUCGUAGAAAUGACUCUGCAUUCUUAAUUCAGAGUGUUUAACUCAGAGAUAUGAAAUGCAAGAUAAAGAGUUCUGCCAUUUAGAGGCCCAGGCAUUUCUAUGUCAUCACAUGUAAUGGCAUUUUAUUAUUGUCACAGAAGAAAGUAGGAUAUCAGGCAUCCUUUGAGAAUAAUCAGGAAAAAAGGCUUUAAUUAUGUAAUACAUAAUAAAGAAUCAAUCAUUUAUUCUAAUAAAUACAAAGAAUAUUUAUUAAGUGACUGUCAUAUACCAGAGAUAAGUGCUGGAUAUAGAGAGAUAUAAAGUUGACACAGUUUCUGCAUCAACCAGACCUUAUAUUCCGUCUGUAACAAGUAAUAAAUUUGUGUGUGUUAUCAUAAGGAAAUCAUACAAUACUAAUGAAACCUCCAGCAAAGAUCAUAAAAUAAAUCCUUAAAUCCUUGAUAACUAAGGUGAAUUCUAAAGAAUCCACAGGAUAGAAAAGAGGUUGAGGGAGAGAGGGAGACACAAAAGGAAAAGCACAUACAAUAAAUAGUAAGGGAAACUCCCAAGAACUUCAAGAGUAGUUCAGCAGGAGAAGGCUCAGCAAAGAGCAGAUGAUGCUAGAGAGGUAAGUGAAAGCCAGAUAAUUAGUAGGAGUUUAAAAUAUCUGUGAAGUACAUUGGGUAGCCAAUGAAAAGAGUUAAGCAUAAGAGAAAUGUGAAUAAAGUUUCAGUUUUGAAAAAUCUCAAAAUGCAGUCACCAAGUUGGAUUUUAGAGGGAAAGACAAUGCAGAGGAACCACUCAGGAAGUUGUUGCAAGACUGCAGAUAACAAAUGAUGUAAACAUGGAUGAGGUUGUUCUUACAUGUGACUAUGCUUAUUUAUCUAUUAAUAGUCAAACUUCAUUUGUGUUACCUGGAAAAAGUAGAUAAUACUGAUACACAAUGUCCCUGGUACAAACAUAGGAUCCAUAGCAAUAUUUGCUAUUGUAAUUAUUCCUUUUUUGUUUUUAUAAAACAAUUUUCCUUCUGAAUAACUGAACUUUGUAUUUUACUUUUAAAGACCCGAACUAUACCAAAAAGGUAAAUACUUAGAAAUAGUAAUAUUUGGGUAUUUUUACAUUUAAUUUAUUUUAGCAUACCCUAAACACUGCUGUGUAUAUGAGUUUGGAUUAUAUUCAAAUUGAGAAAUAGAAACUCAAAAUAUGACUGAAACAAACUACCACAGAUUUUCUCUUGUAAAUGUAGCCAGUCCAGAUUUCUUGUGGUAACUCUAUUACUAAUAAUAUCAGUUAGCUAAUAUGUGACAAGUACAGUGAAUAUAAUUACACACAACAUAAACUAGUUUUAUUUUUUAAUUCUAAUUUGUUAUAUAUAACAUCAGAAUGCUUUAAAAUACAUAUUACACAGAGCAAAAUUUUUCAUAUAUCUGGUUGUACAAAAAGAAGAGUCACACUAUUCAUGUCUUUUUAUUUAUUUAUUUGUUUGUUUGUUUGUUUAUUUAUUUAUUUGUUUAUUUAUUUGGUGCUGUGGAUUGAACCCAGGGCUUUGUGCACGUAAGGCAAGCACUCUACCAACUGAGUUAUAUCCCUAGCCCCUCAUGGCUUCACACUUGUACUUAGAAUAAUGAUGGCCAUCUUGUUCCACUGUCUUUCUACACACACUCCCUUGCCCUCCCACCCCUUUGUCCUAUCUACAAUUGAUGUAUUCCUCUCAUGCCCCCCACAGUCUCCAUUAUGAAUCAGCCCCCUUAUAUCAGAGAAAAUAUUCAGCAUUUGUUUUUUCACUUACCAUUAUCUUCUCCAAUGCCAUCCAUUUACCUGCAAAUGCCAUGAUUUUAUUCUCUUCUAUUGCUGAGUAAUAUUCCAUUGUGUAUAUAUGCCACAUUUUUUUCAUCCAUUCAUCUAUUAACACGCAUAUAGGUUGGUUCCACACUUUAGCUAUUGUAAAUUGUGCUACCAUAAACACUGAUGUGGCUGAGUGCCUGCAGUAUGCUGUUUUUAAGUCCUUUGGUUAUAGACUGAGGAGUGGGAUAGGUGGGUUAAAUGGUAGUUCCAUUCCCUAUUUUCCAAGGAAUCUCGAUACUGCUUUCCAUAUUAGCUGCACCAAUCUGAAGUCCCAUCAGCAGUGUAUGAGUGUGUCUUUUUCCCCACAUCAUCACCAACACUUAUUGUUGUUUGUAGUUUAAAUAGCUGCCAUUCUGACUGGAAUGAGAUGAAACCUUAGAGGAAUUUUGAUUUGCAUUUCUCUAAUUGCUAGAGAUGCCAAACAGUUUUUCAUAUAUUUGCUGAUUGAUUAUGUAUAAUAUUCUGAGAAGUGUGCAUUCAGUUCCUUGGCCCAGUUAUUGAUUUUUUUUUUUUUUUUGGUGUUUAGAUUUUUGAGUUCCUUAUAUAUCCUAGAGAUCAGUGCUCUGUCUGAUGUGCAUAUGGUAUAAAUUUGCUCCCAAAAUGUAAGCCCUCUGUUUACCUCACUGGUUGUCUUUUGCUGAGAAGAAGCCUUUUCAUUUGAAUUCAUUGCAUUUAUUGAUUCUUGAUUUCAAUUCUUGUGCUAUCAGAGUCUUAUAAGGAAGUCAGGCCUUAUCCAACAUGAUGGAGAUUUGGGCCUACUUUUUCUUCUAAUAGGUGCACUGUCUGUGGUUUAAUUCCUAUGUUCCUAACCCACUUUGAGUUGAGUUUUGUGCCUGGUGAGAGAUAUGGGUUUAAUUACAUUUUAUUGCAUAUAAAUUUCCAGUUUUCCCAGCAUCACUUGUUGAAAAAGUAUGGUUCUUCCAACGUAUGUCUUUGGCACUUUUGUCUAAUAUAAGAUAACUGUAAUUCUGUGGGUUUGAAUCUGUGUUAUCUAUUCUAUACCAUUGGUCUACAAGUCUAUUUUGGUGCCAAUACCAUGCUGUUUUUGUUACUAUUGCUCUGUAGUCUAGUGUAAGAUCUGUUAUAAUGAUGCCACCUGCUUCACUCUACUUGCUAAGGAUUGCUUUAGCUAUUCAGGGUCUCUUAUUUUUCCAGAUGAAUUUCAUGACAGCUUGUUCUAUUUCUAUGAGAGAUGUCAUUGGGAUUUUGAUUGAAAUUGAAUUAAAUCAGUAUAAUGCUUUGGUAGUAUGGCAUUUUGGCAAUAUUAAUUCUGCCUAUCCAAGAACAGGGGAGAUCUUUCCAGCUUCUAAUGUCUUCUUUCAUUUUUUUCUUUAGUGUGCUGUAGUUUUUGUUGUAGAGGUCUUUCAUGUCAAUGAAAAUUGAUUCCCAAGUAUUUUAUUUUAUUUUUUUGAAGCUAUUGUUAAUGGGGUACUUUUCCUUAUUUCCCUUUUAGAGGAUUUGUCACCGAUAUACAGAAAUGCAUUUGAUUUAUGGGUGUUGAUUUUAUAUACUGCUACUUUGCUGAUUUCAUUUACCAGUUCUAGAAGUUUUCUGGUGGAAUUUUUUUGGGGGGUCUUCUAAGUAUAGAAUCAUAUUGUUGGGAAAUAGUGCUAAUUUGAGUUAUUUUCUUAUCUCUAUCCCUUUAAUUUCUUUUAUCUGUCUAAUUGCUCUGGCCAGUGUUUCAAGAACUAUGGUAAAUAGAAGUGGUGAAAGAGGGCAUCCCUGUCUUGUUCCAGUUUUAAGAGAAAAUGAUUUCAAUUUUUCUCCAUUUAGAAUGAUGUUGACCUUGGGCUUAGCAUAGAUAGCUUUUACAACAUUGAGAUAUGUUCCUGUUAUUCCCAGUAUUUCUAGUGUUUUGAACAUGAGGGGUGCUAUAUUUUGUUAAAUGCUUUUUCUGCAUCUAUUGAGAUGAUCAUAUGGUUCUUAUAUUAAAGUAUAUUGAUUUGAUGAAUUACAUUUAUUGAUUUUCAUAUGUUGAAUCAACCUUGCAUCCCUAAAAUGAACCCCACUUGAUCAUUGUGCAGUAUCGUUUUGAUUAUAUUUUUAAAUUCAAUUUGCCAGAAUUUUAUUGAUAAUUUUUGCACAUCUUUUCAUUUAAGAUAUUGGUCUAAAGUUUUCUUUCUUUGAUGGGUCUUUGCCUGGUUUUGGAAUCAGGAUGAUAUUGACGUCAUAGAAUGAGUUUGGAAAUGCUUUCUCUUUUGCUAUUUCAUGAAAUAACUUGAAGUGUAUUGAUAUUACUUCUUCUCUGAAGGUUUUGUAGAACUCAGAUAUGUGUCCAUCUGGUCCUGGGGUUUUCUUGGUUGAUAGGCUUAUGAUGAUGUCUUCUAUUUCACUGCUUGAAACUGAUCUGUUUAAAUUGUAUAUAGCAUUCUGAUUUAAUUUGGACAAAUCAUAGAAAUCAAGUAAUUUGUCAAUGCCUUUGAUAUUUUCUAUUUUAUUGAAAUACAAGUUUUCAAAAUAAUUUCUAAUUAUCUUCUGUUUUUUUGUAGUGUCUGUUGUGAUAUUUUAUUUUUAUCACAUAUGUUAGUUAUUUGAGUUUUCUCUCUCCUUUAGUAUGGCUAAGGAUUUGUCAAUUUUAUUUAUUUUUUCAAAGAACCAACAUUUUGUUAUGUCAAUUUUUCAAAUUAUUUCUUUUGUCUCAAUUUCAUUGAUUUCAGCUCAAAUUUUAAUUAUUUCCUGACUUCUACUGCUUUUGAUGUUGGUUUCUUCUUCUUUUUCUAGGGCUUUGGGAUGUAAUGUUAAGUCCUUUAUUUGUUGGCUUUUUCUUCUUUUAAGUAAUGAACUCCAUGCAAUGAAUUUUCCUCUUAGUACUGGUUUCAUAGUGUCCCAGAGAUUUUGAUAUGUUGUAUCAGUUAUCUCAUCUGUCUCUAAGAAUUUUUUAAUCUCCUCCUUGAUAUCUUUUGCAACCUGUUAUUCAUUCAGGAGCAUAUUUAGUCUCCAGGUAUUGGAGUAGCUAUUAUAUAUUAUUUUAGCAUUGAUUUGUAUUUUCAUUCCAUUAUGAUCUGAUAGAAUGCAGGUUAGUAUUUCUACUCCUUUGUAUUUGCUAACAGUUGCUUUGUGGCAUAAUAUAUGGUCUGUUUUAGAGAAGGAUACAUGUGCUGCUGAGAAGAAAGUGUAUGGGCUUGUUGAAGGAUGAAAUAUUCUACAUAUGUCAGUUAAGUCUAAGUUAUUGAUUGUAUUAUUGAGUUCUAGAGAUUCUUUGUUCAGCUUUCAUUUGGAAGAUCUAUCCAGUGAUGAAAGGGGUGUGUUAAAGUCACCCAGAAUUAUUGUGUUGUGAUCUAUUUGACUCUUGAUCUUGAAAAGAAUUUGUUUGAUGAACAUAGAUGCUUCAUUGUAUGGGGCAUAUAUACUUAUAAUUGUUAUGUCUUGUUGGUGUAUUAUUCUGUUGAGCAGCAUGAAAUGUCCUCUCUUGUCCCUUUUGAUUACCUUGAAGUCUAUUUUAUUUAAUAUAAGGAUAAAAUCCCCUGCUUGCUUCCACAGUCCAUGUGAGGGGUAUAAUUUUUCCCAACCUUUCACCUUCAGUCUGUGGAUGUCUUUUCCUAUGAGAUGAGUCUCUUGGAGGCAGUGUAUUGUUGGGUCUUUUUAAAAAAUUGAAUCUGCCAGUCUAUAUCUUUGAAUUGGUGAAUCUAGAUCAUUAACAUUCACGGUUAUUAUUAUGACAUCAUUUGCAUUUCCAGCCAUUUUUGUUUAUUUUUGGUAUUUAACUUGGUUUCACCUUUGAUUAGUUUUUUUUUCUUUGAGUGUAAUACCUUCCUCUGCUGAUUUUCAUUUCCUCCUCAUGGAAUAUUUGGCCAAGGAUGUUCUGUAGUGCAGACUUUCUACUUGUAAAUUCUUUUAACUUUUAUUUAUCAUGGAAGUUUUGAAUCUAAAGCUUAAUUUUUUUUUUUUUUUUUUUUUUUUUUUGGAUACAAGAUUCAUGAUUGGCAUCUUUUUUUUUUUUCCCCCAUAGCUGGGUUUACGCUGUUCUAGGAUCUUCUAGCUUUCAGGGUCUGGGUUGAAAGCUGUGCAGAUAUCCUAAUUCAUUUCCCCCUAUAAAUAACUGAUUCCUUUCUCUUGUGGCUUUUAAAAUUCUCUCCUUAUUCUCUGUGCUAAGCAUUUUUGUUAUAACGUAACUUGAUGUGGAUUUGUUGUGAUUUUGUACAUUUGGCAUUCUGUAAGCCUCUUUUAUUUGGUUUUCCAAUUCAUUCUUCAUGUUUGGAAAAUUUUCUGAUAUUAUUUCAUUGAACAGAUUGUUCAUGCCUUUGAUUUUGAACUCUAUGCUUUCCUGUAUCCCAACAACUCUUAAAUUUUAGUCUUUUUAUGCUAUCCUGUUUAUCUUGAAUGUUCUGCUCAUUAUUUCUUACCAUCUUCACUGUGUUGUGUGUCUGUGUGUGUGUGUGUAUCCUCUAUCUCCCUAUUGAAAUAAUCAUUUGCUUCUUGUACUUGCUUAUGCAGCUCUUUAUCUAAAUGAUCUUUUGCUGCCUGUAUUUCCUCUCUUAUAUUAUUCUUUAUUUUACAGAACAUUUUCAUUAUGUAUAUCCUGACUCCUUCUCUGUAAUUUCUUCUGCUGUGCUGGCCAUGGAUUCUAAUAAUGUAGUAUCUUGAUUUGUUUUGGGGCACUUUCUUCCCUUGUUUUUUCAUGUUGUUAGCACUGCGAAUCUGAGGCAUUACUAUUUUAUUCUAUAGGCUUAUAGUGCCCCUGCAGAGUUCAAAUACCUCUCCUUUGAGGGGAAGAACAAUGUUAACAAAUCCCAAUACAUACAAUAUUCAUACAACAUUACACCAAAUAGUUGCUAUUAAGAUAUUUACAGUUUGGUUACAAUAUACAGAAAUGGUGAAUUCAAUUAUUAUCUACAAUAUAAACAUCGGGUUUGCAAAAGGAUUUUCUGAUUGUAGACAAAGAACCAGGGAUGAGGUGUAGGAUGAUAUGUUGAGGAGAAAGGAGGUGAGGAUAUAGAGUUAUUGUAUCAUAAGAAGUGUCAAAGAGGAAUCUUAAGAAAAAGGUUAAUAACGGGAGAAUAAAGAAGAAGUGAUUUGGGGUAUACAAGUGAGGGGGAACACAGAGGAGUACAUAAAACAAACAUAUGAAUAUUAAGAAAAAUAAAAAAUGCAAAAAUUAUAAAAAUAGGAGAAAAAAGGAUAUAUGACACAACUGUGGUAUACUAUUCAGACAUCCUAGUCCUCAGUAUUCUAAUUCAUACAAAGUACUUGGUUUCACAUAUGUUGGGGAUGUGUGGGUGGUAGGAUAGAGAAGGAGGAGAGAAAAAAAAGCCCUCAAAGUAAGAAACAGGAAUUGUUUUAAUUGGAGAUCAGUAUAUUCUCUGCUUCACUUCUCAUCCAAUAGGUGGGGUUGUCUGUUGUUAGCUAGAAUCUCUGCCCUCUUGAUGGUGAGGGUUAUCAAGGUGGAAAGGUUGUUCUUGGGUACAGGCCACUUGGAAGUAACAUACAAUACCUGCCAGUCCCUGAUGGGAAACUGCACUUCAAGGAUCUCUUUUGGGGCCCACCUGUGUGAUGUGGGCACCUGGUCUUAUCUCCUUAUCUCACUUGUAGACCUCACAGUUCCUGGAACCUAAAUCAGUCUCUAAACUGUAUCUCACACACCCUCUCCCUUACUACUUCCUAAUCAGGGACCUUUCUCUUCAGAGGUCUUGUGUGUUGUGCUCUGCAGGAUGCAUACCUGUCACAGAGAGCUAUUUUGUACUGAGAAGUCACUGUGCCAGGUUAGUGGCUGCCAGUAUAGGGUGGUGUUGGUAUUAGAAAGUAUGGGUACUUGGCUAGCUCAUGUUCUGAACUGGGAGUUUUCUGAACCAAAGAUAGUGAUGAAGUUGACCCAAGAUAGAGGUGGUUGCCUUCAGCGAUGGGGUGUUGGGUUGGGUGGCAGGAGCCAGGCAAUGGCAUUGGGCGAUGUGUGCAGAGAUGAGCUCUGUGUCAUGCAGUGUUGUGACUGUCAACUGUUUUCAGAGCCUGUGUAAUGUCCCCAGGUUCAGGCAGGCUACCGCAUGUGAGGGGCUAAGGCAGUGGCUGCAGAGUCCCAAGAUGGAGGCGACGGGGGAGCCCUGCAUUGGUAGAUGGUGGUCCACAGAGGAGUGGCUGCCAGAGUUCCUGUGUGUGGGUAGCAGCUGGUGUCCUUCUGGGAAUGGCAUCCUGGAAUUCUGCGUGAGUGGGUGGCCCAGAGUUCUGCAUGAGUGCUAAUACCAGUUGUCCUGUUCUGGCACUUGGAAGUCCUGCGUGGGUAAGUAGUCAGAGUUUCUGCUCUGAUGCUAAGGCCUGGAUCCCUGAGAGGGCACAGCAGCUGUGAUUCCUGCACAUGAGCAGCUGUAUGUAGAGGGACUCUAUCUCAUGCAGAGGAGCAGUAUUCCAACUACUUGAGUCCCAGGUCAUGGAGCAACACAGAAUGCUGCCUCCCUCUGGCCUGCCAUCUUGGAUCCCCUCUCCAGAAACUAGUUUUCUGAAAGAUCAACAUAUUAUUCUCAACCAAAGUCCUAGAGAACAGAUAUUCAAUUGGCUUAACAGCAAAUGUAUGUGUUUUGGCAAUCAAAUGAGCAAGUGGAAUUACUAAAAUUGUAUUGUAAUGGUUUAAGAUCUUCACAACCAUCUUGCUUAAAAGAAAUUGCUUUUCUCAGUGGUAUAAAUUUGUGGCCCUUACUUUUCUUCACUCCAGCAUUUGAACAAUUACUCCCCUGAGAACUCAGACUACUAUAUCCCAGACCAUGAUAGGGAUGUUUAGCUUCAGAGAGCUUUCUUCCAUAUUCCAAACUUAGAGGACACCUCAGGAAAACUCCCUUGGGAGACUUGGGUCUCAACAUCAUAUCUUCCCAACAGAAUAAACACAGAAAUUAGGUACUGCAAUGUAAUGAUGACCUAAAUUUUCUUGUCAUUUAUUUCUGAGUACAGCCCUUUAGUUUACAAUUGCAAAAAAAAAAAAGUUCUGUCCACAAAUAGGAUAAAAAUUCAUAGGAAGAAACAGAGUAGUCUAAAAUACUUUAAAUAAAUACCAUGCUUAGAAAGCAAACAUCGCUUGCCAUACUGUUAUGUGAUCUCUCAAGAGUGCCCUUUUUCCUACAUUCUUAAAGGCAUCAAUAUAUUGAGAUCUUCCUCAAGCUUUAUAUUCAAUAGAAUUACAUUGUUGCUUAUGGUAAGUUCCACACAGUUCAAAAAGAAAAUAAAAAUUAGUGAAAGUUCUGAAUAAACACUGAGACAGAGUACUGUAAGUGUUAAUCAAUGAACCCUUGAUCAUGAAAGAUUCCCCCAUUCAAGAGAGAGUGACUGUGUCAAUAACAAGAGAAAGAGCAUAAACAAGAGGAGGGCAAUGAGAAGAGAGAUAGCAGUGUGAUUAUGAAAGGUAGUAAUAGUAGCAGGUGUUAUUAAUUACAUAAAAAAGAUUGGAACACUGGUCAAUAUCAGAAACACUGUCUUCUUUAUCUUUAUUAUAUAAAACAAUGCCCCCUCAAAUGACUUGCUUCUCCAGCAAUGAUUAUAUUCUCAGACAAUUUCUGUAUUGUUUAAGCAGGUAUAACACUUUUGUCAAAUGACAAAAAGCCAAAUAUAUCAAUACUCUUAAAAAUGCAAAUAGUCACAGGCCUCAUAGUAUAUCAAUGGAAAUUAUUCAAACAAAAAAGUCAAAUGAAUGUCAUGUGUGUUCAUCACAGUUACUUAUAGAAUACAUAUUGGAAAAAAGUUGAAUGUCACAUAUUAAGGAAAGAUUUUAAAACUUAUUCCAGUACAUAUCACACCAUUACAAUUACUUUAUUUAUUUAUUGCAUUUUAUUUUUAUUUCUUCAUUUUGAUACCAGGGAGUGAACUCAGGGGCACUCAACCACUGAGCCACAUCCCCAACCCUAUUUUGUAUUUUAUUGAGAGACAGGGUCUUGUGGAGUUGCUUAGUGCCUUACCAUUGCUGAGGUUGUCUUUGAACUUGGGAUCCUCCUGCCUCAGCCUCCUGAGCUGCUGAGAUUACAGGCAUGCACCACCACACCUGUUAAUGCUUAACUACAUUAAUUCACAACAUAAGUUUAGCUGGAGACCAAAAGGCAAAAUAUUGAAUAUAAUAAUGUCACUAUUUUUGUGAGAAGAAAAAAAAUAUACAAAAAUUUUCAAUUUUCCACUUAUAUUUUAUAUGUUACUGUGUCAAUAACAAGAGAAAGAGAGCAGUUACUACAUGAGAGAGAGCAGAUACUACAUGUAUCUGUUCAUGUAGUUACAUGAACAGAAAAAAAAAGGAAACAAUGAUGCAUAAAGCCCUGGGUUCAAUCCCUAGCACCAGAGAAAAAAAUAUAAUAAAAAACAAAUGAAAAAGAGAGAGAGACCAUAAUGAAAGCAUUCAAAUUUUAAAAAGCAUUCAAAUCUAAAUCUGCGUAUCAACCAAAGAUCACCUAGAAGAAUCUUUUUACAUACACUUUCAUGUUUUUCCAAAUUUUUAUAUGAUAAACAUUUUUUUCCUUAUAACUAAUGUUGCAGAAUGACAGGCACCUGUCUUUUUCAGGGCUUAACUAUUUUUUAAAGGGUAUAUUUAUAAAACAGUAGUAGAAAAUUUUUGUACAGCACAGAUAUGAAGAACAUUUGAGAUGUGAGAAAUUAUAUUGAAUAUAUUGCUUUACAUGUUGUUCUAUCUUAUUGCAAUCCCAAAAUAAUUGCAUAUGUCACAAGGUCCAAGGAGUAGUGCAGUGACUGCUACAUUAAAACUCAUUUUAUCAAUUUAUCUAUAUCAGUGCUUUUGAAAAUUUCUUUUUUUUUUCUUUUUCCAGAAGAGUUGUUGCAAAACAAGAUUAGGAAUAGAACAUGUGUUUUUAGUUUGGAAGAAUUUGGUCAUUCUUUUACUGAGAGAAUCAUGAAAAUAAUAUAUUUAAAAUGGAAUGAAAAAGGAUGAGUUUAUGAUUAUGGUUUGAACAAGGUAUUCAAAAAACUUUUGAUGGGACAGUAUUCCUAUGUAUAAAGAAAUUAAUUGCAUAACUUGUUAUGGAGUAGGAACCAUCAAACGCUACUUCUUAAACAUUCUAGACAAACAUAUGUUUUCUACAAAUUUUUCAUAAUGUGAGUGAACUACUCAACAACUUAGCCAGUUCAAUAAAAGGUCCAGAGGAACACCCACCAGGGUGCAACAAUUCCCAUUGGUCAUAUGAGGUGGUGAUAAAGGGUUCUUCACAGCCACUUACACACAGUUCAUUCUUGUGAAACUUUAAUAUCAUUAACAAAUUUCAGGGCAAAACAUGAUAUUUAUAAACAACCCAAAUAUAUGAUCACUCAGAUAUAUGUAUCAUUCUAAUGCAGUGAAAAUGCUGAUUGUGGGUCAAUAUAGUUCUGAAAUGAACAAGUAGAGAACUGUUAGGAUUUUUAGGAUUAUGUAGAAAAAACUCCAAACCACACUAUUUAUCUUCUGAAUGUCAGUGAUUUUUAACCUUCAGUUUUUAUGGGAUGUUACAGAGGAAAGCAUUGGGAAACUCUCACAAAUUAUAAAGUGAGAAAUGAAGUAUUAUAGACAUAAUAAAUAUAAACAUGUAAAACAAUCCCAGUUAUAAGUAACUUUUGUUCAGUGCUCACUAGGAGGAAAUAAGUACUAAUAAUUUCAAAUUAAAAAGUUAUCCAGAUAACCUGCCUAAAAUACACCUAAGUGAUUUACUAGAAAUGUAACAAUGAGAAUUGAAGACAAGUACUAGCUAUAGUGUCUAACCAAAAAAAUUGAUCUUAGUAAUGAAUGAAGUUAUGAAUUAAGAAUCAACAUAUAAUAAUUUCUAACAUCAUCUCUCAAAUUACUGUUUAAUGGCUCUAGGUCAUUUCUUCCUGACACACAGAUAUAAGCACACACAGGGAGACAUAUUAUACAAGUAAGCCUAGUCAAACUUUUAGGUCAUAAUGCACAUCUCUUUCCAAAGAAAAUGAGUGUUUGGGUCAAUUUAAGAAUAGCAUUGACAUCAAAUUCCUAAUAAUACAUGAUUUUUCUCUUCUUAAUUUACAUAUCAAUCAUUUAUAGUGUUUUCUGUUUGUCUUUUUUUGCAACAUUUUUAUUGGUGUAUUAUAGUUGUACCUAAUGAUGGGAUUUUAUGUUACAUAUUCAUACAUUUACACAAUAUAAUAAUACAAUUUGGCCAAUAUAACUUCCCAGAAAUUCUCCAUUUUCCCCCACCUCCGUCCCAUUGGUCCCUUUCUCAACUGAUCUCCCUUUGAUUUUCAUAAGAUUCAUCCCAUCUUUUUUUUCUUUUUUCCUCUCUAGUUUUCACAUAUGAGAGAAAACAUACAACUUUGAGCUUAUGAGUUUGACUUAUUUCACUUAAUGUAAUGGUCUUUAGUUCUUUUUGCUGAAUAAAACUCCAUUGUAUAUAUAUAUACCACAUUUUCUUUAUUCAGUCAUCCUUUGGCAGACACCUAGGCUAGUUCCAUAGUUUGCCCAUUAUGAAUUAUACUGUUAGAAAAUGGGUAUGCAUGUAUCACUGUAAUAAGAUGAUUUUAAUUCUUUAGGAUAAACACUGAGAAGUAGUAUACCUGGGUGAUAUGAUGGUUCCAUGCUUAAUUUUGAUGAAUCUCUCCAUUCUGAUUUCCAUAGUGUUUGUAGUAAUUUACAAUGCCUCCUCCAACUGUGAAAAACUACUCAUUUUUCUCCAUAUUCUCUCCAGCAUUUAUUAUUCUUUUUAUUCUUGAUGACUACUAUUUUGACUAGGAUAUAUUGAAGUCUCAGUAUAGUUUGAUUUUUCUAAUUGCUAAUGAUAUUAAAUAUUUUAUCAUAUUUUUGUUGGCUAUUCAUAUUUAUUCUUCUGAGAAGCAUCUGCUUAAUUUCUUUUCCCACUUAUUAAUUGGGUUGUUUGAUUUUUUAGUGUAAAGUUUAUUUAAUUCUUCAUAUAUUCUAGAUAUUAAUCUUUUGUCAGAAGGUAGAUAGCAAAGAUUUUCUUUUAUUCCAUAAGUUCUCUCUUCACAAUUCUUAUUGUUUCCUUUGGUGUGCAGAAGCUAUUUAAUUUGAUGCCUUCCCACUUAUUAACUCUUGGUAUUGUUUUCUGACCUUUAGGGGUCUUAUUUGAGAAAGUCAUUGUAUGUGCCUAUAUGCUGGAAAGUUGACCCUAUGUUUUCUUCUAGGAGUUGUAUUUACUCUAAUUGUAUUUCUAGGUCUUUGAUUAAUUUUAAGUUGAUUUUUGUGCAGGAUGAGAGAUAAGGGACUAGAUUAAUUCUUCUGCAGUUUUCCCAUCAUCAUUUAUUAAAAAGGCAAUCUUUACUCCAAUGUAUGUUUUUGGCACCAUAGUCAAGGAUCAGAUGACUGUACAUGUGUGGGGUUUUCUCUGUCUUCUAUUCUGUACUACAAAUCAAUGUGUCUGUUUUUAUGCCAGUAACAAGCAGUUUUUGUUACUAUAAAAGUGGUAUGCCUGGGUGAUAUGAUGGUUCCAUGCUCUGUAGUAUAAUUUGAAGACAGAUAUUAUGAGGCCUCCAGGAUUGCUUUUUGAAUUUAGAUUUGCAUUCACUAUUCUGGGUAUUUGAGUUUUCCAAAUUAAUUUUAGGAGUGUUUAUUCUAAUUCUGUGAAGGACAUCAUUGGUAUUUUCAUUUGGAUUGCAUUGAAGCUGUAUAUUGUUUUGAAUAGUUGGAAAUUUUAACAAUAUUAAUUCUACAUAUCCAUGAACAUGGGAGGCCUUUUCAUAUUCUUGUGUGUCUUCUUAAAUUUCUUUCUUUAAUUGUAGAUGUCUUUCAACUUUUUUGUUAGAUUUAUUCCCAGGGAUUUUUAGUGUGUUUGUUUUGUUUUGAGGAUAUUGUAAAUGGAAUUAUUCUUCUGAUUUUUUUCUCUGAAGAUUCAUUGUUGGUUUAUAGGAAAGCUAUUGAUUUUUGUAUGUUUAUUUGUAAUCAGCUAUUUUGUCAAAUUUGUUUAUUAGUUCUAGCAGUCUUUUGUUGAAGUCCUUUGGAUCUUCUAUGUAUAGAAUUAUAUCAAUUACAAACUAUUCAAUUUAAUUAUAGUUAUAUUAAUGUAACUAUUCAAUAUAAUUACAAAGAGAUAUUUAUUAAUUCACUUAUUUCUUUCCUACUUUUCUCUCUCAUAUCUCUUUCUCUUUCCUAAUUUCUCUUCUACUGGUUUUGGAAUUGGUUUGUUCUUCUUUUUAAAGAACCUUGAAAUGAAUACCUUUUUUAUGUGGAAUCAUUAUGAUUUUUUUAUACAGGCACUCAGCUAUNNNNNNNNNNNNNNNNNNNNNNNNNNNNNNNNNNNNNNNNNNNNNNNNNNNNNNNUAUUACUAUUCUCAUUUGAGUCUAAGAAUAUUUAAAUUUCUCUCCUGAUUUCUUCUAUAAUUCAAUUGUUUUGGUUGUUUAUUUGUUUCAUUCAAGACAGUCAUUUCAAUAUCCAUAUUUUUACAUAGGUUUAGUAUGGUUUUGUCAUGUUGAUUUCCCAUUUCAUUCCAUUAUGUUCUGAUAGGACAUAAUAAAUUAUAUCAAUUGUUCUGCAUUUGAGGAGAGUUGCUUUGUCAUCUUAAAUAUGGCCUGUUUUGGAGAUGGUUCCAUGAGAAGCUAAGAAGAAAUUGUAUUAAUAUUAUGUUGAAUGAAAUAUUCUAUAAACAUCUUUAAGUCCAUUGGACUCAUAAUAUUUUUCAGGUUCAAAGAGUCUUUACUGACUUUAUGUUUCAAUGACCUUGAUAAACAAACUAUUGAAAAUCACCCAGUAUUAUUGUACUUAUGUCUAUCUGAGGCUUCAAUUUGAGUAGUGUCUCCUUUAUUUCAUUAGUUAGACCCAUGUUUGUGACUUAAAUAUUUAUAAUUGUUAUAUCUUCUUGUUAAAUUAUUGAAUUUACCAGUAGGAAGUGACUAUAUUCAUCUCUUCUGAUUAAUUUUGAUUUGAAGUCUGCUUUGUCAGAUAUGAUAUUAGUUAAUCCUGCUUAUUUUGUGUUUCUCUUUGCAUUAUGUAUCAUUUUUAUCCUUUUGCUUCAGACUGUGGCUGCUUUUAUCUGUAAGGUGCAUAUUUUACAAACAACAUAUCAUUGGCUCUUUUUUUUAUAAUCCAUUCUGACAGACUAUAUGUUUAAAUUGGAGAAUUGAGACCAUUUAUAUUCAAUAUAAUAACAAAGGGAUAUUUAUUAAUUUCUGUCAUUUUGAUUUAUUUAUGUUUAUUUGUUCCAGUUCUCAUUUGUUUAGUUACUCUUCAAAUCAGAUUUGUUCAUUUUUGAACUCUGGGGCUUGUUUUUUAUUUCUUCCAUAGGAAUCAUUUUUUUUAAAUAAGUUCUGUUUUGCUGGUUUAGUUGUUAUGAAUUCUUUUACUUUUUGCUUAUCUAGGGAAGUUUUUAUUUCAACUUGAUUUUGAAGAAUAGCUUUGCUGUAUAUAGCAGUCUUGGUUGACAGUUAUUUUCUUUUAGGACUUUGAACUUAUUGUUCCAAGAUCUCCUGGUUUUUAGAGUUUGUGCUAAGAUAUGAGAAGUGAUUCUGAUUGUCUUGCCUCUAAACCUGACCUGACAAUUUUCUCUUAAGGAUUUUAAAAUUCUAUUUUAGUUCUGUAUGUUAGGCAUUUUAAUUUUAAUGUACUCUAGAAAGGUUCUUUUUUGAUCCUGUGUAUUUGGGGUCCCAUAUCUGGAUAUAUCCCUCUGAAUCUGGAUAUCUGUCUCAUUCUCAAGGUUUGGAAAUUUUUUUAUUAUUAUUUCCCUUAAAAGGAAAUAAUUUCUCUUAGCCUGCCUCUCACAACCCUCCUCAAUUCCAAUGGUUCUUACAUUUAAUCUCUUAAUGUUGUCCUAACAUCUAUAUUCUGAUCAUGGUUACUUAUUUUCUUUACUUUAAAACUGUCUGAAUGUUCAAGGAUGACCACUUUUUCUUUUAUAUCUGAGAUUUUGUUCUCAGAAUUAUCUACUGUUUUAUAGAGACUUUCAACUGGACAUUUUCUUUGAUUUAUUUUGUCUUUCAUUUCCAAGAUUCAUGUUUGGUUCUCUUUCAAUAUUUCUACCUCAUUUCAUUUUCAAUUUGUAUUCUAUAGUAACUUCCUUAGUUCAUUCAAUUGUUUUUCUAUGUUCUCUAGGAAUUCAUUGAUCAUUUUUAUAAUGAGUUUUUGAAUUCUUUAUCUGACAUUUUAUAUAGUACAAUUUUUUUGGGGUCAUUUGUUGGUGAAUUAUGAACUCUAUGUGGUUUAAUAUUAUCUUGUUUUUACAUAUUUCUUGUAGACCUGUGUUGGAUUUUACACAUCUAUUAGGGGUGAAUAUCUCUUCCACUCUAUAUAGAGCAUUGUCUUUACUGUCCAAAGUGUCCUAGAAUGAUCUUGAUUUCGACACCCUUGUAGGUGUGGUAUUCACAGCUUUGCAUUAAUUCUCUCUGUUUUGGCUCUGGCAAGGGAUUUCCAUAAGUAGAAGCUACAAGCUCACCCCCAGCUGUUUCUAAUUAAGGUCUUAUCAAUAGUGUGUUUUUUAAUCUUUGUAUUAAAGUAUAAGCAGAGAUUGAGUGUCAUUAAUUUUUAUGUGGAGCAACGUGAACUGUAUUUUGUUUGAAUUUAUUUUAGCUGGAGACUUCUCUACCCUGUGAACUUGUAGUGACACUAUAGAUUUCCACUUAGUCACAGAAUAGGGGGAAACAAAUGAUAAAAACAAAACAAGCAAUAUACAGCAUUAAAAUAAAUAAAUACUUGGAUUCUAUUAUGGCUUCUACAACGUCAAUUACUAAAAAAAAAAAAAGAAAGAGAGAAAAAUAAAGAAAUGGUGGGGUCAGCAAUUUUUAAUAACAACAACAAGGUGUAGAUCUGGCAUUAAAUCAAGAAACAGGUGUCAAGGAUGUCAUCCACAUAAGUAAUAAUUGCAAAAGUGUUAAUGGUAGGAGCAGGAGAUAUAUAAACCAGUUAGUUCCAAAAGAUGGUAAAAAUACAGUAAACUAAGAGGAAUGAAGUGUGAUAGGAAGGUAGAAAAGGGUUUGCAAUUUUCAAAAGUGAACACAGAGAAUGCCAUAGAAAUGUUGCAGGUGACAGUUAUGAGGUUAGAGGAGAAAAUAGGAGGAAAAAAGUAAAGGAGGAGAGAAAGAAAAAAUAGAUUUUGGCUAUCAGCAGUAAAAGUCUCUUUCUCUUUAUUUGAAAUGAAAACAAUACAAAAUGAACAAAAAUAUACAGAUCAAAAAUCCUAACCCUCAAAAGACAAGACAAGGAAAAUAACUACAUUUAAAAAAAUGCUAAGAAAAAAAAAUGUGGAUAUAUGUCCAUGAACCAAAGAGCCCUGAAAGAACACACACACACACACACACACACACAGAAUAAGAAAAAGUAAAAAUAUUAUUAAUGAUAAAUGAAAGAUUCCAAUAUGAAGCCCUGGUUAAGAAUCCUAACCUAAAUAUUCCUUCUUCUCUUAGAUGUAGCUCAUUCUCUCUUGUAUUUUCUACUCUACCCUGUAUGCUGUUUCCAGUCCUCAAGAGUAAUAGCAGCACUUGACACCUCCUAUUCUGACCAUUCCCUUAGGCACAACUGGCUACAGGGAGAUUAAAAAAGGCAGUUGUCAGUCACUGACCCCUAGGGGUUGCACAUUCACUUCCAUCUGGGAGUUUGGUUUAGGAGAAGCCCCACCAAUAUUUGUCACAAAAGCAGUAAGAAUAAAAUUACUAGGGCUGGGGUUGUGGCUCAGUGGUAGAACACUGGCCUCACAUACGUGAAGCACUGGUUUGAUCCUCAGCACCACAUAAAAAUAAAUAAAUAAAAUAAAGAUAUUGUGUCCAUCUACAACUAAAAAAAUAUUUUUUAAAAAAGAAUGAGGAGCUGGGGUUAUGGCUCAGUGAUAGAGCGCUUGUCCCCUCACAUGAGAGGAACUGGGUUUGAUCCUCAGCACCACAUAAAAAUAAAUAAAGUAAAUAUAAAAAGUGAAAAAAAAGAAAGAAAGAAUCAUUUUCACUGAAGUGUUCAAAACAGUCAGCAAAAUGAAUGAUCACCAACACAAUGGCUGAUCACCCAACUGUCUUUCUUUCCAUUUCUUCUUAAGCUAUGUAUGGAGAGCCAGAGCAAAGAAUGGGUUUUGUUAUCCCCUUUAUCCUUGUGUUUCUUUCUGAGCAGUUGGAGUGGCCUAAGACUAAAGCUGUUUUACAUAAGUCUCAGCUUCCCUUCUUACUGGUAUGACAUAGGAUGAAAUAGGAAGAACUAUCAAUUGGAGCUUUGCCUGCACAGACAGAUCUAUGCACACCAGGAUGGGUUGCUUCAGUGUUCUAUGAGGGGGAUUCUGAUGGAUGAGGCUUAGGUCUAAUCACCUUUGUUGGGUGUCUGCUCUGAAGAGAGUAGAUGGACACACACCUAGGGCCUGGCAGUUGCUGAUCUCUGUAAGAAGUCUAAAUCUCAGUAGCCUCCCAAGAAUUCUAUUCAUUUGGCCAUAUUAAGGUGCUAUUUCAAAAUCCCAAAUAAAAUUCUGUGUGUUUUUGAAGAAAAGACACAGGAUUUAUUCUGGUCAGGGCCAAGGGAGAAGAAAGCAGACAGUCCUACAGCCCAAGACACUGAACACUGGUGGGGAGGCAUCUUAAAAACAGAAAAACCACAAAGAAUGGGGGUGGGAGAGGCAAGUACAAUCAUAGGACACAAUUCAUAAAGUGGAAAGCACCAAGUUCUCAGAAUUGGCACCUUUUUAUACAUAAUCAGGAAGCAAGCUUGCAUUAGUUCCAAAGUUUAAAUACAUUGUGGUCGGUGUGCAAGUGGGUGAGGGUAGAGAUUUCAGCUCUGUGUGAGUGGGCUCAUGCAGAAAGGGGGACCAAGUCUGCACAGGAUGAUUUGUCUGAGCAAAAUAUACUCAGCCUGACUUAAUUUUCAAAUUAGCCCAUAACAGAAGGGGAGGUGAUCCUCCACACAUUCUGAGGCCCCCCGGCACAGUUUUCCCAGGCAUAGUCCCUGAGUGUUUCCACGCCUAUAUUGUCAGAUUCUCUACCCACUGUACCUGGUCAUAUGAACCACCAGUCUCAAAGGAGAAGGAAGUUGUGUUCCCACUUUGCUUUUUUGACUUGAUUCCCCUGGAGUAAAAUCUUCUCUGUGCCUUUUUACUCCCAUUUAGCUAGGUAUACACUAGGCCACACAGUAGGCAUUGCAGCAGUGUUCACUCUGAUCUCCCAGUUCUAGCAGCAGCUGAAGUACGGCCACUUCAAGAUCACUGCACCACAUCUCUCCCCAACAAGUAAAGAAACAUCAUUUUUUCAAUUAUCAGUGCACAGUGCAGCCUCUGGAUCAGCUAAUUUCAGGCUGCUUUUCUGACCUCAGGUUUUUUUUAUAUCAAACAUGUCCACUGUAUUUCUCUCUGUAAUUUUCUUUCUUUGUGGUAGACAGCACCAUUACUACUACUACAGCCACUUCCACAAAUACUUUGGUUCCAAUGUAGUAUUCUUUGUUUAAUGAAUACAAACUUCUGAGUCUCUGAGAUACUCUGAUUGUACAAUCUUAAAUUUUAGUGAAAUCAUUCUUUCACCUACCUCACUAAGAAGCAGUAUUCUCACUGCUUGUAUUUUGAACCUUGGAGGAAUUAAGAAGGCAGCCUUCCUCUAAUCUGACAUCUUGAAUCCCCUCCCUGUUGAACUUUUUUGAUGGAGCAAAUGUUUUCUUCACAGGAAAUGGAAGAAUUUGUACAGAGUUCUGGAGAAAAUGGUAUUGUGGUGUUUUCUCUGGGGUCAAUGGUCCCUAACACGCCAGAAGAGAAAGCCAAUAUAAUUGCAUUUGCCCUUGCACAGAUUCCACAAAAGGUAAGAAAAAGUGGCCGUUUAGUGAACAAGUAUGUAAAAGUCUGUUAAACUUUAUAAAGGGUUUGAUUAAUGAAGCAUCCUUUGUGAAACAUAAACCUAUCAUGAUACAUAUAAAUCAUCUCAGAAAUCAUGCUUUAAACAAAAAUAUGUGUGGUAUUUCUAAACAGUAGAGAGUGUUUAAUUCAUGUUAACAUUAACAUUAUGAUUAUAAAGAAUAUAUUUUACAGGUCUAUUGUGAAAAUUUAACUCUAAGGUUAUCACACCAUUUACACAGAUACCACAUUCUUCCCUGCCACUUCUUCCUUUUCCCUGCAGGAUUCCUGAGGGUACCAUAUACAAAGCAAAUGUUAUCAGAAAGCUACAAAAAGUUAACUCAUAACUGGACCACCACAAUAAUAGUAAGCAGGUAUUGAAAAAGGCUAAAUUUUAUCAUGAUUUUAGAUAUCCUAUGCAGUACCUUGUUCCUUGCUUACCCUUAUUUAAGAAGAAGCUUCUUGAAAUCCUAUUCUACCUCAUCUCUGGCUCAGAGCAUUGGAGUCUGCCAAACAUGUGCUGAACCUCUGAAACUAUGAGUUCAAAAUACCCCCAUAAAAAAGCAUAAGUUUUUUUAAUGAAUUGUUCCUGGAGUUUUGAGGAGAAAUGCUACCCAGAGUUGAACAAGCCUGAAACCCUGACUCCAAAUUCAUACUAAGUCACAUGUAUUUGUAGAAAAAGAAAAAAAUAAACAGCUUGCACUAAUGGACAGGAUCCUGAUAAUUUCUGAAGAAGGAAAAUAUUAAAGAAUGUGUAGAGAUUAGUCCUUCCCUCAAAGUGGACCCUGUCUAUUAUGAAAUGUGCCCCAAAGGACAUUGCUUCUAAAAUAUCAGAUUAACACAUUCAGAGUUAACAAUAUCAGGAAGAGUCAAACAGAAGCAAGCCUAGCAUGGGCUGAAAUUCAGGAGAUGCAGCUCCAUGAAAUGCUUUAAUACCACGUUUUCUACAUACAGAAUACUCUUGUGAUCUUUGUGUGCUUGCCAUAUACUUUGUAGUUUUCUAUCUGAUAUAGUCUUCUCCUAAUCACUCAAGUGUUUUUCUUUUCUGCAGAACUAAAGUUACUUUGCUAUUCACAUUACAUAUAGAAGCUAAGCACUUAGAAAUUAUACUCCAGUUCAUGAAGUCUGCUUUCAAUUUCCAAAGUCAGCUCCUUGUUUUGAUUCUAGGCAUAAAAAUAUCUUGAAUCUAUAUGAAACUACCAAUAAGACUUUGUAGUGCAUCAUUAAAUAACCACAAAACCUUUUUAAAAAUCUAGCAACCUCAAAAUUUUGCCCUUUAUUUCAAAAUCCAUGCAAUUAUUUACAAGUUGCUAAUAAGCUCUUCCUUUUAAAACUUAAAAGAAUUUCCAAAUCCACCAACAUUAAUAAAAGUGUAGGUUAAAUUGAUAAAGUGUGGGUGACAGUUCACACGUGCCAGUGAAAUGAUUCUUGUAGUUAGUGCUUAGUAAAAUGCCAUCUAAAACAAGUUACCUGUAAUCCCUAGUUAGAAUUCAUUUAUUUCUCACAAGUAGCUGACUGUAUUGUUUUGCUUUUGUGUAUAAAAAAAUGCUAAACUGAAAUAAGUACCUUAAAGAACUAAUGAAUAUAUGUAAUAUCCAAUCUAUGUCAAUUAAAAGAAGUAAACAUGAUGAUAUUAAUUUUCAAAAAUGAAAGCUAGGGUAAAAUAUAUUAAACAAAAUAAAUAUGGAAUUUAAGUUUAGAUUUUAAGAAUUCUCAUUGUUUAAAAUUGUUUGUAUUCAUUUUAUUAUGUGUAAAAUAUUGAACCAGAUGAUCUCUUAAAUUUUUAUAAUUCAAACAUACUCUAAUCUUUAAAUCAUAGAAUAAGGUACUUUCUUUACCAAACAGGUCAUAUGGAGAUUUAAUGGCAAGAAGCCAGAUAAAUUAGGACCCAACACUCAG
This 23619-nucleotide long non-coding RNA is filed under the name Marmota monax (woodchuck). Lineage: Eukaryota; Metazoa; Chordata; Mammalia; Rodentia; Sciuridae. The record is from RNAcentral.